UACGAAGGGAGCUAGCGUUGUUCGGAAUCACUGGGCGUAAAGCGCACGUAGGCGGAUGUGUCAGUCAGGGGUGAAAUCCCGGAGCUCAACUUCGGAACUGCCUUUGAUACAGCACGUCUCGAGUCCGGAAGAGGUGGGUGGAAUUCCUAGUGUAGAGGUGAAAUUCGUAGAUAUUAGGAAGAACACCAGUGGCGAAGGCGGCUCACUGGACCGGUAUUGACGCUGAGGUGCGAAAGCGUGGGGAGCAAACAGG
This 253-nucleotide ribosomal RNA is filed under the name uncultured bacterium. RNAcentral describes it as "partial 16S ribosomal RNA". It matches the Rfam family "Bacterial small subunit ribosomal RNA", at positions 524 to 776 of the family's 1533-position model. The record is from RNAcentral.